CUUCUCACCCGAACAAAGGAGAUGCUAUCCGUAGCAAACUUGAGACUCCACAAGAUUAUAUCCAACAGCCAAGAGCUAAUGAAUGCAUUUCACUCAGAGGACUAUGCUGCCAGCGUGAAAGACCUUGACCUUGGGUCAGACACACCUCCUUUGCAGAGAAGUCUAGGUCUGCUGUGGAACAUCAAAGAAGACACAUUCACCUUUCAAGUGUCAACCUGUGACAAACCUUUUACCAAGAGAGGAGUCUUGUCCAUGGUGAAUAGCAUCUACGACCCACUGGGAUUUAUAGCCCCAGUCACCACCCAAGGUAAGAUGCUUCUAAGACAGCUUACUACUGAUAACAUAGAUUGGGACACUCCGUUACCCAUGGAGAAACAACAAAGAU
Molecule: non-coding RNA, 385 nt
Organism: Pelobates cultripes (western spadefoot toad)
Lineage: Eukaryota; Metazoa; Chordata; Amphibia; Anura; Pelobatidae
Source: the annotation of a GenBank genome assembly